This 286-nucleotide long non-coding RNA is filed under the name Linum usitatissimum (flax). Its description in RNAcentral is "long non-coding RNA (LUSI_LNC001701)". The record is from RNAcentral. Lineage: Eukaryota; Viridiplantae; Streptophyta; Magnoliopsida; Malpighiales; Linaceae.
AAGAAGAAGAUGAACCUCCAGUGGAAAUUCCAGGUGGAAAAAUUGGUGGGUUUUAGAUGGUUUUUUUCUUAGCUCUUUUUGGUUUCUUGCUGUGACAAAGAUCUACAGAGAGAACCCACAAAAUGAUUUGUCACCUGUUUGUUGGGUCCAUGAAUCAUGAAAAGAAUUGGAAGCUAUAGCUUCAAUUAAUUAUCUCGGUUUCUUGUUUGACUACUUUUGAUUGGGUACUGAAAGAUGUCAUCUUUUUUCUUCCUCUUAAUACUAAACUAAGUAGUGCCAUCAAUUC